AGAAAUUGACGGGGGCCCGCACAAGCGGCGGAGCAUGCGGAUUAAUUCGAUGCAACGCGAAGAACCUUACCAAGGCUUGACAUACACCGGAAAAGUGCAGAGAUGUGCUCCCCGUAAGGUCGGUGUACAGGUGGUGCAUGGUUGUCGUCAGCUCGUGUCGUGAGAUGUUGGGUUAAGUCCCGCAACGAGCGCAACCCUCGUCCCAUGUUGCCAGCGGGUUAUGCCGGGGACUCAUGGGAGACUGCCGGGGUCAACUCGGAGGAAGGUGGGGAUGACGUCAAAUCAUCAUGCCCCUUAUGUCUUGGGCUUCACGCAUGCUACAAUGGCCGGUACAAAGGGCUGCGAUACCGCGAGGUGGAGCGAAUCCCAAAAAGCCGGUCUCAGUUCGGAUUGGGGUCUGCAACUCGACCCCAUGAAGUCGGAGUCGCUAGUAAUCGCAGAUCAGCAACGCUGCGGUGAAUACGUUCCCGGGCCUUGUACACACCGCCCGUCAAGUCACGAAAGUCGGUAACACCCGAAGCCAGUGGCCCAACUCGCAAGAGAGGGAGCUGUCGAAGGUGGGACUGGCGAUUGGGACUAAGUCGUAACAAGGUAGCCGUA
Molecule: ribosomal RNA, 600 nt
Filed under: uncultured bacterium
Lineage: Bacteria
Description: bacterial SSU rRNA
Rfam family: Bacterial small subunit ribosomal RNA
Source: RNAcentral